CCUGGUGGCUCAGAUGGUAAAGCAUCUGCCUACAAUGCAGGAGACCCAGGUUCAAUCCUUGGGUCAGGA
This 69-nucleotide transfer RNA is filed under the name Bos taurus (domestic cattle). It matches the Rfam family "tRNA". Rfam says of the family: Transfer RNA (tRNA) molecules are approximately 80 nucleotides in length. Their secondary structure includes four short double-helical elements and three loops (D, anti-codon, and T loops). Further hydrogen bonds mediate the characteristic L-shaped molecular structure. tRNAs have two regions of fundamental functional importance: the anti-codon, which is responsible for specific mRNA codon recognition, and the 3' end, to which the tRNAs corresponding amino acid is attached (by aminoacyl-tRNA synthetases). tRNAs cope with the degeneracy of the genetic code in two manners: having more than one tRNA (with a specific anti-codon) for a particular amino acid; and 'wobble' base-pairing, i.e. permitting non-standard base-pairing at the 3rd anti-codon position. Lineage: Eukaryota; Metazoa; Chordata; Mammalia; Artiodactyla; Bovidae. The record is from Rfam by way of RNAcentral. RNAcentral also lists the same sequence under 1 other name.